CAGCCGCCGCGGUAAUACGUAGGUGACAAGCGUUGUCCGGAAUUAUUGGGCGUAAAGGGCUCGCAGGCGGUUUCUUAAGUCUGAUGUGAAAGCCCCCGGCUCAACCGGGGAGGGUCAUUGGAAACUGGGAAACUUGAGUGCAGAAGAGGAGAGUGGAAUUCCACGUGUAGCGGUGAAAUGCGUAGAGAUGUGGAGGAACACCAGUGGCGAAGGCGACUCUCUGGUCUGUAACUGACGCUGAGGAGCGAAAGCGUGGGGAGCGAACAGGAUUAGAUACCCCGGUAGUCCCUUUCUCUUAUAC
RNAcentral lists this ribosomal RNA (301 nucleotides) under uncultured bacterium. Its description in RNAcentral is "partial 16S ribosomal RNA". It matches the Rfam family "Bacterial small subunit ribosomal RNA", at positions 509 to 807 of the family's 1533-position model. The record is from RNAcentral.